AGGAAACAUUUCUUUGAAUAACUGCUGUUAUUACGGUUAUUUUUUAUUCCUGAUGCAAACUGAUAGUCAGUUAAAUUUUCUUUCGGAAAUCUGCUGCCCUAUGCAGUUUGCUUAUUAACAACAACAGGUUGAAAUAUAACUUCCGCUGUCUGGUGACGGGUUUCCUUUUUGAGGUAUUUUCUCAAGGUAAGCACGCGCACGCUUCUCCUCUCCAAUUGCAAAAUUAAAUUUGCUGACCUUGAUGUUUUGCUCCCUUUUCUCCUUUGAUUUUUCUUUUUCACUAAGGACGUAUUCUGUAUAACACUUCCUGUUAUACUCAUCCCACUUUUGUUCUCUCACUUGUUCUUCUUGUCUUUUUUUCUCUUUUAGCCUUAUGGCAUUUUUUCUGCCUUCAUCAAUAGCUUUUAGUAUUUCUGCUCUCAUUUGUUCUUCUUCGAGGCAUCUGGCUUUAAAUUCUCUGGCCUCUUUUUCCGCAUAAGCCUUUUCUAAUUCUGCCUCUCUUAAAGCUUUUUUAACAGCCUCUGCUUUUUGCAUUGCUUCCAGUUUUUCCGAAGCGAUGUCUGCUGUUAGCUGUCUUCUUCUUACUCUGGCCAUGGUGUGAGCCAUCGAGAGAGCCAUCUUUUUAUCAACUUCUUUUUGAACACGUUUGUCAUGUUCAUAGCGCUCUUUCUGUUUUUGAAUUUCAAGAGGAAGCAGAGGACACGUGUAGGCCCAAUGACAAACAAAUUCAUCACCCAUAACGCACUUAUUAAGGGGAUCACCGGGACAGCGAGAAAUGAUCACAGGUCUGUGAGGCUGUAAACACGUGCACCUGUGGGUGACCAGGGGGACGCUCUAAAACUCUCAGGAACCACGAGUAUAUUAGUUUAUUAUAUCGUGGACUUCACUGAGUGAAAAAGGAUGAAGAUCCAGUGCAGCUGGUCUCAGGAGAUGAUGAAAAAGCCUGAACACCUUCUCUACAACAACAACAAGAAUAAAUUGUGACCAGGCUCAUUGGCUGAGAUGGUGGAGCAAAACAGCAACACAUUAAUUGUGACUGCUGAAGUUCCUGUAUGAACCCAACAACUCUGAAAAUCCAAGGAAAAGGUGUGCAUUUUCCUUAAAGCCCAGAUGGAAUUUGAUGGACUACCAUUCAGGACUUUCUCUCACUGGUAUAUGAAGAGUGCUACCAAUAGAAAGUGUGCACACAAUGUCUCACUUCAUGCUUGCUCUUCACUAACCUCUGGUGUUGCUUUCUAGUCACUUGUGUUGUUAUGGUCUCAUUUGUUAUUGUCUCACAAGCAGAGGUUUUUGCUUGGGAAGUAACCAUGACCUCUUUUCAGAGGCUUCUCUAACAUUUAAUGGUUGUGAAAUAUGUCAACUUUUCUCCUCUACUUUAACUACUAAGAGCAUUUUGAGCACAGUGGAGAAAAGGGGUUGCACUGAGGAUUUUGAACUGUGGCGUUUAAGUGUUGUCACUGCAGAAGAUCUGUGGACACAGAUCCUUAUUCACUUAGCUGCUGUUCAGUUUAAAAGUCUUCAUCAGAACAAGCAGAACAAUUGCACUUUGCUCCUCACUGUCUUUGAAAAGUAAGAGCUGAUAAAACAAAUCCACUAAAUGCAUUUUUAUCUUUAAGUUUGGUAUAGUAAUUUGUCGAACAGACAAGUAAUCUUGUCUGUUCGAUUACUUUGUCUGUUCUAAUAACAGACAAGUAAUCAUGUUCUAAUAAACCCAAAUUUCAGCAACACCUUUGGAUCUGUUCGGUUUUAUUCAUAUAGCACCAGUUAACAAAUCGUUUCUCAAGUCACUUUAUAUUGUAAGGUAAAGACCCGACAGUGUUAAUCUAGGACAAAUGUUCACUCUGAUUCAAUGUUGAAGCGAAUGCAAGUCGGUAAUCAAAGGUGAGUUUUUGGCCAUAACUGACUACAUAUGUAUAUUAUAUCAUGAGUGGACAGACAUGGUUGUAAACCACACCUUAACUGUUUGGCUGAGCUAAAACAACCACAGCAGGGAUUCUAGCUUUAAGGUACUCUCGAUAUUGUUAAAUGUGCAAAUAUUGGUAUAUUUUUUGUUUGUCAGCUGUCCGUUUCGAAGAAAACACUUUGACGCCGCUUGAAUCCAUGUAUUUAUGAACACAUUUUCAUGAUGUUAGGGACCAGGCAGUAAGGCAUAGAGGACACAGGUGUUUAAUUCAAAAAUGGGUUUUUAUUGACCCAAAAUAUGAAAAAUAAUUGACAAAGCCAAAACUUAAAUAGACAGACCAAUAAAAGAGGUCAACUCAAUAAACUAAACUCAAAAUAACAACUAACAAAACCUCAAACAAACAUAAGACAAACUGACCUCGUGAAAUGACUGUGACAAAGUGGCUAGGAUUGAAUUCAUUUACCAUUUGUCACUUACAUAUAUUCUUAAUUUAGCUUGUGGUAUCUUAUAAUGAAUCAUAAUGCUUUAAUGUACACACUGCAGAUGGACUGUUUGUGGUAGCAUUGGUUACAUUCAUUACAUCUGUGCAAAUGUUCUUAAAGCCAAAUGUCACUUAAUCAUUAGUUGAUUUGAAUCUUUCAUUUGAUUAUGUAGUUUGGUUAUACAUACAUGUACCAUUCUGUGUUCCUUUGUGCAGGUCCUAUAUGUAAAGGGUAUGUAGGAGGGGCCGCCCCAGUACUUCCUGUUUAUAUAGGAUAUGAUUUCAUUGAUUGAGUCAAUUAGGUGUAACAAAAAGAAGGGAUGUUUCUUUUGUGUAAAAUUGCUUAUUUCCUUUGAAAUAACCUCAUGAGUCGGAUUGUGUGAAGAGAAUGACUUUUCAAACUGUUUAUUUGGGUAAAUGAGUUUGUUAAGUGGAAAAAUGAUUUUAUUCCUGUUUCUUUGUCUAGACGGUGUUAUUUGGUCUAACCUGUUUUCUCAAUGGUAGGGAUGAAUGAGUUUCAGCUGUGGGUGGAAUUCUGUAUAAAGCAGGGGAGAUUUUGACUGCCAGGGUUCUUAUGUUUGAGUGAAACAAUUGUUGAAUGGUGACGCCAGAAAAUAAAGGACACUUAAAAGAAA
Molecule: long non-coding RNA, 3019 nt
Organism: Oreochromis niloticus (Nile tilapia)
Lineage: Eukaryota; Metazoa; Chordata; Actinopteri; Cichliformes; Cichlidae
Exons: 3
Source: RefSeq, a predicted model, not a curated record